RNAcentral lists this ribosomal RNA (754 nucleotides) under uncultured bacterium. RNAcentral's name for it is "bacterial SSU rRNA". It matches the Rfam family "Bacterial small subunit ribosomal RNA", at positions 28 to 769 of the family's 1533-position model. The record is from RNAcentral.
AUUGAACGCUGGCGGCAUGCCUAACACAUGCAAGUCGAACGGCAGCACAGUGUGUAGCAAUACGCAUGGGUGGCGAGUGGCGGACGGGUGAGGAAUACACAGGAAUCUGCCCUGUAGCGGGGGAUAGUCCGGGGAAACUCGGGGUAAUACCGCAUACGACCUACGGGUGAAAGAGGGGGAUCGUAAGACCUCUCACUAUAGGAUGAGCCUAUGUCGGAUUAGCUAGUUGGUGGGGUAAAGGCCUACCAAGGCGACGAUCCGUAGCUGGUCUGAGAGGACGACCAGCCACACCGGAACUGAGACACGGUCCGGACUCCUACGGGAGGCAGCAGUGGGGAAUAUUGGACAAUGGAGGAAACCCUGAUCCAGCAAUGCCGCGUGUGUGAAGAAGGCCUUCGGGUUGUAAAGCACUUUAGGCCGGGAAGAAAAUGCAUCACCUAAUACGUGAAGCCUUGACGGUACCGGCGGAAUAAGCACCGGCUAACUCUGUGCCAGCAGCCGCGGUAAUACAGAGGGUGCAAGCGUUAAUCGGAUUUACUGGGCGUAAAGCGUGCGUAGGCGGUUCAGUAUGUCGGUCGUGAAAUCCCCGGGCUUAACCUGGGAACUGCGGCCGAAACUGCUGGGCUCGAGUGUGGUAGAGGGCGGCGGAAUUCCGGGUGUAGCGGUGAAAUGCGUAGAGAUCCGGAGGAACAUCAAUGGCGAAGGCAGCCGCCUGGGCCACAACUGACGCUGAGGUACGAAAGCGUGGGGGAGC